RNAcentral lists this ribosomal RNA (464 nucleotides) under uncultured bacterium. Its description in RNAcentral is "partial 16S ribosomal RNA". It matches the Rfam family "Bacterial small subunit ribosomal RNA", at positions 339 to 795 of the family's 1533-position model. The record is from RNAcentral.
CUACGGGUGGCAGCAGUGGGGAAUAUUGGACAAUGGGGGAAACCCUGAUCCAGCAAUGCCGCGUGUGUGAAGAAGGCCUGCGGGUUGUAAAGCACUUUCGGUUGGGAGGGCUGCUUCUAGCACUAAUAUUGUUGGAAGUUGACGUUACCUUCAGAAGAAGCACCGGCUAACUCCGUGCCAGCAGCCGCGGUAAUCGGAGGGUGCAAGCGUUAAUCGGAAUUACUGGGCGUAAAGCGCGCGUAGGCGGCUAGAUCAGUCGGGUGUGAAAGCCCCGGGCUUAACCUGGGAACUGCAUCCGAUACUGUCUAGCUUGAGUACAGGAGAGGAGAGUGGAAUUCCACAUGUAGCGGUGAAAUGCGUAGAUAUGUGGAGGAACACCAAUGGCGAAGGCAGCUCUCUGGCCUGAUACUGACGCUGAGGUGCGAAAGCGUGGGGAGCAAACAGGAUUAGAUACCCUUGUAGUC